AAAUGAAAGAGGUUAAAAUAUUCACCAAAAAGGGGUUUUGUCUGCUGACAUCUCCAGCUGUUCUGAAAACGGAGUACGUAUCUUAAACGUGGAGCAUGACCUGCUGUGUAGCCUGAAAACGCAGGCUGAAAGACCACGUUUGUUCUCUUUUUUCAGGUUGGGGGCUAAAUUUGCUGCCUGCACAGCCAGCUGUGGUCACAAGGAAUCUGCACCAGUCUUAUACAAAUGCUCUGUGUGAAUGUAAGAAAGAUGUUCCCAGAAAGGCUGAGCAGUUGGAAAUACCUGAUGUAUCGUCUCCCAUCUGAAUGCACUUGUCAAAGGAGAAAAUGUGCUCCUUCGUCUUCUGGCAUUUCUCCAUGGCUUGAGUGGAUGUACCAAGAUGCAGUAUCAAGUGUCUUCACGAAAUUGCCCGUACUCUUUAGUGGCAAGCUUGGUGCAAAGAAACAAGCCAUCUAGCUGCUGCUGGGGUCUAAGCAGAAAGAGGGCACGUUUGAAGUGUGCUGCAUUUUGAGAGCAAACAUUGAGGCUGGUCAUCAGCAGUUUGGCAAUCAGUGCUGUGUAUGGACAUGAGGCUAGAAACUAUCCAUGUAGCUCAGUCACUGUGGUGUGGGAGCAAAAAGUGAUCAGCAUUUGUCACUUGAGAAUUUUUGGGAAACAAAGAUGGAAACAGCACAACAUGUAAUAAUUACCAAUAAUCGUUCUGGGAGCUAGUUUAGCCUCUCUUGAGGCUAGUUGGAGGAAAGCUUUGCUGCCUGUUUUGAGACAUGCUACUCAUCUCCUGAAAGUCUGUGUUGUCUCCGCACCUCUCCUACAGCUUCUGUAGGACAUGGGUACUUUAGCUGAAGGAUUCCCACUACUGUUACUACUUCAUAGUCAUUAAUUGAGGACACAGAACCAGGUAAGACCUAUUAAAAUAAACAGAAUGAGGCCGUUCAAAAGCACCAUCACUGUACUUGUUUCUGGUUUACUGUGACUGUGAGGAGGCUGAAUGGUGGCAGCCACUACUGCAGGAUGAAUGUUAAGUAAAGCUCUGCUGCAGGCCAAAUACCACUUUAAAGGAUGAAGCAAAGAAAUGGGAGGGAGUAACUCCUUUAUCAGCAUACCUCCCCAGCAGCCCGGGGCUGCAGCGGGCACCG
This is a long non-coding RNA of Gymnogyps californianus (California condor), 1136 nucleotides long. RefSeq lists it as uncharacterized. The record is from RefSeq and is a predicted model, not a curated record. Lineage: Eukaryota; Metazoa; Chordata; Aves; Accipitriformes; Cathartidae. The transcript is spliced from 4 exons.